Molecule: ribosomal RNA, 253 nt
Filed under: bacterium
Lineage: Bacteria
Also listed under: 1 other name
Description: partial 16S ribosomal RNA
Rfam family: Bacterial small subunit ribosomal RNA
Source: RNAcentral
UACGGAGGAUCCGAGCGUUAUCCGGAUUUAUUGGGUUUAAAGGGUGCGUAGGCGGCUUUGUAAGUCAGUGGUGAAAUCUUCGAGCUUAACUCGGAAACUGCCAUUGAUACUGCAGAGCUUGAAUAUGUUUGAAGUGGGCGGAAUGUGUAGUGUAGCGGUGAAAUGCUUAGAUAUUACACAGAACACCAAUUGCGAAGGCAGCUCACUAAACCAUGAUUGACGCUGAGGCACGAAAGUGUGGGGAUCAAACAGG